UACGGAGGGUGCGAGCGUUAAUCGGAAUUACUGGGCGUAAAGCGCGCGUAGGUGGUUUUGAUAAGCUAGCUGUGAAAGCCCCGGGCUCAACCUGGGAACUGCAGUUAGAACUGUCUGACUAGAGUACAGUAGAGGGUGGCGGAAUUUCCUGUGUAGCGGUGAAAUGCGUAGAUAUAGGAAGGAACAUCAGUGGCGAAGGCGGCCACCUGGACUGAUACUGACACUGAGGUGCGAAAGCGU
This 240-nucleotide ribosomal RNA is filed under the name uncultured bacterium. RNAcentral's name for it is "partial 16S ribosomal RNA". It matches the Rfam family "Bacterial small subunit ribosomal RNA", at positions 524 to 762 of the family's 1533-position model. The record is from RNAcentral.